Long non-coding RNA from Schistocerca gregaria, 1074 nucleotides. RefSeq lists it as uncharacterized. Lineage: Eukaryota; Metazoa; Arthropoda; Insecta; Orthoptera; Acrididae. The transcript has 3 exons. The record is from RefSeq and is a predicted model, not a curated record.
UUGAAUGACUUGGUGAAUGAAUACGCGAUCAUUUUCUCGAAUGCCAGCAAGAUAUGCGAUCUCAACGAAAAAAUGGAGGCGGAGAUUCACAAGCUUCGUGAAGAAGUCAAAAGCAGAGAUGCGCUUCUCAGAUUGAUGCAAAGACACAGCGAUUUGGCAAGUCAAGAUAAUCAGGGAUUGAUAGCAGAAAACAAGAGGCUCAGAGAAGUGAUAUCUGAACGAGAAGAAGAGUUGUAUCAAUGCGGAUUACAGAUAGAUGCUCUGAAAAAAGAACUAAAAGAACUAAAAGAACUAAGCGCGCUGAAAGAGCUGAAAGAACCAAAAGAUUAAUAUUCAUUCUUGAUUUGUAGAAUUUGUGUUUUUGUGUUUUGAACUGUACAAACUACCUUUUUAUAAGGACUGAACCGUUCCGUCGUAGCCCUCUGAUAGCUCAUUAUGAAGUUAGCUUUCUUCUGUCUCGUCUUCAUUUUUCUGUCACAAGCAGCAUACGCCUUUGAUUAUUUUCUGUUUGUACACCGUUUGAAUCAAGCUGAUAAGGCCAAUGGCACUGAUACCUAUGAUGUCGAUAAUUCCCCGUGGGUUAUUCACGGUUUAUGGCCAGAAAAUUCAAAUGGAUCUUGGCCACAUAUUGUUAUAGACUCUAUUUAGCUAUUUAGAUCUACCUGAAAUCCCACCUUGAGUAUAGUCUGGCCCCCUUUCCCUCAACAAUCCCAAGAAUCGCUCUGGGAACACGAAUACAUAAAACAUGGAACUUGUUCUAUUCCAGAUCCUAUUUCAUCUGAAUACGAAUAUUUCAACCAGUCUAUUCAUCUCUAUAAUAAAAUCUGUCUCAAUCACAUUUUCAAAAAAUUCAGCCUCUCCAAGUACGGGUCCAGAACCCGUCGAACAAACUACCGGUAUACUCCCGUACUUCCCCAUCCACGAAAAAGGACUUCCUGGCAGAGAGAUAUGUCUAGAUAGAUAACAGUUCAACUACAUUAAUUGUACCUUUUUACCUAAGACGAUAGAAUUUGUCCAUCUUUAACGCAUGGCGCGUAUACGCCCUUCCAGGAAUUGCAAUUUCUUUUAUUGGUC